AGGGUCCCUGCACAAGGAAACCCACAGCCAACGCCCCACCUUGGCUACAGGCCUGGUGGCUGGAGGCAACUGGGAGCUCCUGGACGCCGGUAGGCUGCAACCGUGCCUGAUAAAGAAGCCUGCCGAGAAUCCUCAAGAGCUCCUGGCUAGGGGAGGACACACACGCAUCUGCUGACACCCUGCACAGGCUGGUCAGGGGCUCCCUCGCCGGGAGCCCAGAGAAGGAUAAACGGGAGGCAAAAGCGGCCUUUGCGGGUGCCGAGUGACGCUGACCACUAUCCAGGGGCAUCCCCAGAGGCUGUGGGCCAGAGACUGCCUACCUGUGAGAGGUGGGCCUGGGGCUGGCAGCGACACCCCUCAGGAGCCUGCCCCCCCACAUCCUAGAGCCUGUUCCCAAUCAAGGGAGCAGGAGCCCCUGGGACCCUCACGACCUGGAAGGACCAUGCCUUGGGAAGUGGCAAGCAUCCCCCUCAGGCACUCCCAGGCCACAGGGACUUGGGCCUACUCCACCCUCCUCCCACACAUGGCUGCAAGCCGGGAAGGAUGUCUCUGGUGGCUUCUGUCCUGGGCUAACAUCAGGGGUAGGAGCACUGAGACCCCUGAGUCCCCUUUGUCUCCACCAGGCUAGCCCUGGGUCCAGGAAGACUGCCACUCAAAGAAGCAUGCAGGGGGACAGAGCAAGGACACAGGUGUCAGGCACAACAUGCUUCUUCCUCUGGCCUGGGGUCAGGGCAAGGGGGCCAAUGGGCGGGGACUUGCCCUUGGCCUCAGAUACCCAGGCCCUGCCAUCUGGCCUCCCCUGGACCCUCAGGAGGGGGCCUUGAGGAUGGAGAGGGUAAGCAGGACGUGUCUUUGGGGACCCAGCUGGGCUUGCGGGGAGCCCCAGCCUUCCCACCAGGAGCCACCCUCCUGGCCAAGAGCACAAAUGGUGGCCACGUCCGAAGCACCAGGAUCUGCCUCAGCCAGGGUCAAACAUAGUUCCUCUGCCUGUGAACUUGGUUUCUGACUUUGCCAGCUGGAGAGCCCAAGCCUGUCUGUCCUGGCCUCCCAGAGAAGGCAGACACCCCGCUGGCUGGCCCCAUGGGGAAAACACUCUGACACUGAGAGCUCUUCCCUCGGCCUUAAAUACGUGUAACUGCUUCUGGUGCCAGUAAAAGGUAUUAAUUCCA
Molecule: long non-coding RNA, 1169 nt
Organism: Neofelis nebulosa (Clouded leopard)
Lineage: Eukaryota; Metazoa; Chordata; Mammalia; Carnivora; Felidae
Exons: 2
Source: RefSeq, a predicted model, not a curated record